AAGCGGGAAGCCUACCUCAAGAUAAGAUUUCCCUAGGACUUUAUGUCCUCUAAAGAGCCGUUCGAGACUAGGACGUUGAUAGGUUGGAUGUGGAAGCAUAGUGAUAUGUGAAGCUGACCAAUACUAAUUGCUCGUGAGGCUUGACUAU
RNAcentral lists this ribosomal RNA (148 nucleotides) under Acinetobacter baumannii. RNAcentral describes it as "partial 23S ribosomal RNA". It matches the Rfam family "Bacterial large subunit ribosomal RNA", at positions 2783 to 2925 of the family's 2925-position model. The record is from RNAcentral. Lineage: Bacteria; Pseudomonadati; Pseudomonadota; Gammaproteobacteria; Moraxellales; Moraxellaceae.